Long non-coding RNA from Taeniopygia guttata (zebra finch), 1685 nucleotides. The record is from Ensembl. NCBI's taxonomy places the organism in Eukaryota, Metazoa, Chordata, Aves, Passeriformes, Estrildidae.
CGUGUCCCAUCCACCCACCGGGCCACCCCCGUGUCCCUCCCACCCACCGGGCCACCCCCCCUGUCCCUCCCACCCACCGGGCCACCCCCGUGUCCCUCCCACCCACCGGGCCACCCCCGUGUCCCUCCUCCGGGCCCGCCCCAGCGGCCCCGCCCCGCCGCUCUGCGGGCCCGGCGGUACCGGGGCGGUACCGGGGCGAUACCGGGGCGCUCCCGGUACCUGGCGGAGCCCGCUCCGAACCUCCCCCGUUCAUCCCCCGGUACCCCCGGCCCGGCCCGCAGCCCCGGCGGGGCGCACGGGGGACGCGGGGCGGAGCGCGGAGCCGGCUCGGGGCUGCGGAUGCUCCGGUACCGCCGGUGCGAGCGGGGUGAGCGCCAGCCCGGCUCUGGGCACCCGCAACCGGCAGCGGGACCGCGACGGAGCCGCCGGUACCGACUUUUCACCGCCGGUACCGCCACCGGAACCGGCACCGCUCCGGCCCUGCUAUCCCGGCACCGGCGUCAGCGCUUGGAUCCCGGCACCAGCAGCGAGCGGCCUCGCUGACACCGGCACCGGCACCGGCACAAGGUCCGGUGUCACCGGCACCGGGACUGACCCUCCCGCCCCCGUUAUCCUCCCCCGGCAUCGCUCGUCCUUCUCGACCCCCGGGACCCACCGACCCUUCCCGGCUCCCCGCAGCUUUGGAAACCCACGAGUACGGGAGCGGUGGGAACGGAGAGCUGGGCACGGUGGAGUGGAGCACAAGGAGCACCCAGGCCAGCACUGGGGUGACACUGGGGUGACACUGUCCUCCUGACCUGGCAGGGACACGGAGCAGGGACUGGCUAGGACCCUCCGAGGACCAGCCCAGGGGCGUUCUGGUAGGAGCAGCCAGGGGUGGUGGGCAGUCCUGGGGAUACUGGGGAUACUGGGAGUGGCUGUGAUGGGCCACUGAGAGCCCUGCAUGUGAGGGGCAGUGGGUCCAGACUGCAGUGCUGCCGGGGAGGUGGACAGUGCCCUGCGGUCCCUGGGAACCACAGAACCAUGGAACGCUUUGGGUUGGGAGGGAGCUUAAAGACCAGCCCUGCUAUGGACAGGGGCACCUUCCCCUGGAGCAGGUCCCCUCUCAGGCCCAGCUCCACUGCUCAUUUCCCUUGCCCACUCCUCCUUUGGCUGUUUCGGUGGUGCCAGCAGUGCCACGGGCUGGCCAGCACCCGCCAGGCUCUGUGCCAGGGGCUGGGACCACCGGGACCAUCACCGUGGAUGAUCUGGGGUUAACAAGUGGCUCCUGCAAAGGAGAAGCAAAGCAAGAGCUGAGAUUAUAUAAAGGGGGCUGGAGGCAGCUGCGGCACAGGCUGUGAUUAAUUCCUGGCACUGAGGAGCUUUGAAGAUCCAGCACGGUGCGAGCCUGAGGCAGCCCAGGGUCCCUGGGAUGCAUUCCUGCUGCUGCUGCAGGGCUGCUGUGAAGGGGAAGAGGGCAGGGAGGGGCUGAGCGCUCCAGGAACCCGCUGGGAGCUGCCUCAGCAGCUCUCAGGUCCUGGUGGCCCUGCAGAGCCCGUCCUGCAGAUCCCUUCUCCCUCCCAAAAUCACAGAGGGGACACGGCUCGGAGCGGGUCAGCCCAUGGCUGGGGCAGGAGUGCAGCAGUGAGGGGUGGUGGCGGCUGGUGGGGACAGGACAGCGCUUCCUUGAGGCCACAGAACCCCUC